AUUGAACGCUGGCGGCAGGCCUAACACAUGCAAGUCGAGCGGUUGAAGUGAGCUUGCUCCUGGAUUCAGCGGCGGACGGGUGAGUAAUGCCUAUGAAUCUGCCUGGUAGUGUGGGAUAACGUCCGGAAACGGGCGCUAAUACCGCAUACUUCCUUAGGUAGAAAUUUGGUGUUCUUCGGACCUCACGCUAUCAUAUGAGCCUAGGUCGGAUUAGCUAGUUGGUGGGGUAAAGGCCUACCAAGGCGACGAUCCGUAACUGGUCUGAGAGGAUGAUCAGUCACACUGGAACUGAGAAACGGUACAGAGUAGUACGGGAGGAAGCAGUGGGGAAUAUUGGACAAUGGGCGAAAGCAGGAUAAAGAAAUGCCGAGUGUGUGAAGAAGGUCUUCGGAUUGGAAAGAAAUUUAAGUUGGGAGGAAGGGAAGUAAGAUAAUAAAUAGAUGUAUUGACGGUAACAAAAGAAUAAGCACCGGCUAACUACGUG
Molecule: ribosomal RNA, 484 nt
Filed under: uncultured bacterium
Lineage: Bacteria
Description: partial 16S ribosomal RNA
Rfam family: Bacterial small subunit ribosomal RNA
Source: RNAcentral